Molecule: ribosomal RNA, 623 nt
Filed under: uncultured Entolomataceae
Lineage: Eukaryota; Fungi; Basidiomycota; Agaricomycetes; Agaricales; Entolomataceae
Description: eukaryotic LSU rRNA
Rfam family: 5.8S ribosomal RNA (bases 238-391)
Source: RNAcentral
GAUCAUUACUGAAUAAACUUGGUUGGGUUGUUGCUGGCUCUUAGGAGCAUGUGCACGCCUAAUCCAUUUUUAACCACCUGUGCACGUUGUGUAGAUCUGAGAUACUCGAGGCAACUCGGUUUGAGAAUUGCUGUGCACAUGCCAGCUUUUCUUGUGAUCAGGUCUAUGUUUCCAUAAUACUCCAUAUGAAUGUAUUAGAAUGUUUGUAAUUGGCUUCAGUGCCUUUAAAAUCAAUACAACUUUCAACAACGGAUCUCUUGGCUCUCGCAUCGAUGAAGAACGCAGCGAAAUGCGAUAAGUAAUGUGAAUUGCAGAAUUCAGUGAAUCAUCGAAUCUUUGAACGCACCUUGCGCUCCUUGGUAUUCCGAGGAGCAUGCCUGUUUGAGUGUCAUGAAAUUCUCAACCUUUCUGGCUUUUUUCAAAGCUUAAGUUGGGCUUGGAUUUUGGAGGUUGCUGGUUUCUAACGAAUCAGCUCUUCUUAAAUGUAUUAGCAAUCCUUUGCUGACCAUCAUUGGUAUGAUAAUUAUCUAUACCACUGAUAAUCGGUUUCCCUAGUGGAGAGGCUUUGCUUCUAAUCGUCUUUUUGAGACAAUUUGACAACUUUUGACCUCAAAUCAGGUAGG